This 468-nucleotide ribosomal RNA is filed under the name uncultured bacterium. RNAcentral's name for it is "partial 16S ribosomal RNA". It matches the Rfam family "Bacterial small subunit ribosomal RNA", at positions 28 to 507 of the family's 1533-position model. The record is from RNAcentral.
GACGAACGCUGGCGGCGUGCUUAACACAUGCAAGUCGAGCGGAAAGGCCCUGCUUUUGUGGGGUGCUCGAGUGGCGAACGGGUGAGUAACACGUGAGUAACCUGCCCUUGACUUUGGGAUAACUUCAGGAAACUGGGGCUAAUACCGGAUAGGAGCUCCUGCUGCAUGGUGGGGGUUGGAAAGUUUCGGCGGUUGGGGAUGGACUCGCGGCUUAUCAGCUUGUUGGUGGGGUAGUGGCUUACCAAGGCUUUGACGGGUAGCCGGCCUGAGAGGGUGACCGGCCACAUUGGGACUGAGAUACGGCCCAGACUCCUACGGGAGGCAGCAGUGGGGAAUAUUGCACAAUGGGCAGAAGCCUGAUGCAGCAACGCCGCGUGCGGGAUGACGGCCUUCGGGUUGUAAACCGCUUUCGCCUGUGACGAAGCGUGAGUGACGGUAAUGGGUAAAGAAGCACCGGCUAACUACGUG